AAAGCUCAAAUUUAAAAUCUGAUAGUCUUUUGGCUGUCCGAGUUGUAAUCUAAAGAAGUGUUAUCCGUGCUGGACCAUGUACAAGUCUCCUGGAAUGGAGCGUCGUAGAGGGUGAGAAUCCCGUCUUUGACAUGGACUACCAGUGCAUUUGUGAUGCACUUUCAAAGAGUCGAGUUGUUUGGGAAUGCAGCUCUAAAUGGGUGGUAAAUUCCAUCUAAAGCUAAAUAUUGGCAAGAGACCGAUAGUGAA
This 249-nucleotide ribosomal RNA is filed under the name Entoloma sp. 5 CRJH-2017. Its description in RNAcentral is "partial 28S ribosomal RNA". It matches the Rfam family "Eukaryotic large subunit ribosomal RNA", at positions 104 to 344 of the family's 3401-position model. Lineage: Eukaryota; Fungi; Basidiomycota; Agaricomycetes; Agaricales; Entolomataceae. The record is from RNAcentral.